This is a non-coding RNA of Kogia breviceps (pygmy sperm whale), 552 nucleotides long. The record is from RefSeq and is a predicted model, not a curated record. NCBI's taxonomy places the organism in Eukaryota, Metazoa, Chordata, Mammalia, Artiodactyla, Physeteridae.
CUCCAGAGACCUUUGGUAAAGACUUUUGUUUCCUGUCAGUGCUUUUUGGAGUUGGAUCGAUUUCUUUUGGCGAAGAGGGAGCAAAUAAAAGACCAUCUUUCUUCAGGGACAUGGGAACAUGAACGCUCCUGAUGUGAGCUCCAAUGAUGCUGACCUGCUAUGAGCUCUCAAAUUGAAGGAAAAGUCUUGAUCCUCUUGGCCCAGAAUCAGGGGGCUGAUCACAAUGACCCCAGUUCCUCUGCUGCUGUAUUACAUCCCAGCUGGAUGGAGCACUUCCCUUCCAGAGAAAGGUGGCUGAGGCAGAAGCAGCGUGUGAGAAACUACUGAUGCCAGCUGGCUCUUGUCCUCAGAAGCACUCUGAAAUUAGCUUACCUGCUUGUUUAACCAAAGAGAAUGUAAGUUCCUAGAGCAGGGGUUAACAAAUUUUUUUUCUGAAGAGCCAGCUAGUAAACAUUUUAGGCUUUCUCAGCCAUAUGGUCUCUGUUGCAACUACUCGACUCUGCUGUUGUAGUGUGAAAGCAGCCCUAGACCAUACGUAAACGGAGCGUGGCU